Molecule: ribosomal RNA, 540 nt
Filed under: uncultured bacterium
Lineage: Bacteria
Description: bacterial SSU rRNA
Rfam family: Bacterial small subunit ribosomal RNA
Source: RNAcentral
UGGGGAAUCUUGGACAAUGGGGGCAACCCUGAUCCAGCCAUGCCGCGUGAGUGAUGAAGGCCUUAGGGUCGUAAAGCUCUUUCGCCUGUGAAGAUAAUGACGGUAGCAGGUAAAGAAACCCCGGCUAACUCCGUGCCAGCAGCCGCGGUAAUACGGAGGGGGUUAGCGUUGUUCGGAAUUACUGGGCGUAAAGCGCACGUAGGCGGACCAGAAAGUUGGGGGUGAAAUCCCGGGGGCUCAACCCCGGAACUGCCUCCAAAACUAUUGGUCUAGAGUUCGAGAGAGGUGAGUGGAAUUCCAAGUGUAGAGGUGAAAUUCGUAGAUAUUUGGAGGAACACCAGUGGCGAAGGCGGCUCACUGGCUCGAUACUGACGCUGAGGUGCGAAAGUGUGGGGAGCAAACAGGAUUAGAUACCCUGGUAGUCCACACCGUAAAACGAUGAAUGCCAGUCGUCGGGUAGCAUGCUAUUCGGUGACACACCUAACGGAUUAAGCAUUCCGCCUGGGGAGUACGUCGCAAGAUUAAAACUCAAAUGAAUUG